CAUGUGUAGUUUUUGCCAUAUUGUAUACCUGAAAGCUUUCAAGUAAAGAUUUGCUUUUAUAUUCACUCUUUUUUUUUUAAGAUCUGUUCUAUUAUCUAGGCAACACUUUCCUCAGGGGAAGUGAAGGCAAGUAAGCCAGCAGAUGCUUUUGGAUAAAAACCUUGUACAGAGAGAGAAAGCCACCUAGCUUUGACUGUAAACUCACCACAACAUGUAAAAAGCACCUUCUCUUUUUGCUGCCAGCAAUUUCUGAGCUCACAGUGCAAUUCCAUUCCCUCCUGCCCACUGAGGAUCUCCUCACUGCAGUGAGAACUCUGCUCAGCAACAGCAAAGUGUGUUCCCAAGAUCACAUAGCUGGAUGACAGAGACCUCAAAUACAGCACAUCCACAUCACCAAAGGAACAGUAACAGUGAUGUUCAGAAGAGUACAGUCAUCAUCACAUCAAUAUUAACAUCACAUCAAUAUUAACAGCUGUGUUGUUCUUAACCAGUCUUGAUAUAUUCUGUCAUGAGACUAAAUAACAGAAAAAGGAACAGGCAGAAGACACAGUGUACCCAAAACUCCUGCAAAGGAGACAGGCUUUUACAGCAAGACCUAGGUGAGAGAGCCUCUGUGAGCCUGCACACACUGGAAGAUCAGCACAUGACUUAUCAAAACGAGGUAACACAAACAUCCAAGGCUUGUAAUGGUUACUGACAUUCUCCAUUAGGGGUCUCUGUUUGUCCUGCCAUGUCUCUGCUGCAUGGGACAGUCACACUGGGUAGAUGACACCUCAUGUGCCCCAUAUGCCCCUCUGGCAACGAUCAGGAAAAAACACUUAAUGUUUUGCACCUCUGCCCUGGAGGGUGCAGCAGAAAAGUUAGUCAAAGUUACUUACCUGCAAAGGCAUGGAAGAGGCACU
This 902-nucleotide long non-coding RNA is filed under the name Cyanistes caeruleus (blue tit). RNAcentral's name for it is "lncRNA (ENSCCEG00000015893.1)". Lineage: Eukaryota; Metazoa; Chordata; Aves; Passeriformes; Paridae. The record is from RNAcentral.